Molecule: ribosomal RNA, 449 nt
Filed under: uncultured prokaryote
Description: bacterial SSU rRNA
Rfam family: Bacterial small subunit ribosomal RNA
Source: RNAcentral
UAGGGAAUCUUCGGCAAUGGGCGAAAGCCUGACCGAGCAAUGCCGCGUGAGGGAUGAAGGCCUUCGGGUUGUAAACCUCUGUCAUCGGGGAAGAAAGCAGAGAUCAGGAAAUGGGUUUCUGUUGACGGUACCCGAGGAGGAAGUCACGGCUAAUUACGUGCCAGCAGCCGCGGUAAUACGUAAGUGGCAAACGAUGUCCGGAAUCACUGGGUGUAAAGCGCAUGUAGGCGGCUUUGUAAGUCUGAGGUGAAAUCCACGGGCCUAACCCGUGAACUGCCUUGGAAACUGCAGAGCUAGAGGACCAGAGGGGAAAGUGGAAUUUCGGGUGUAGCGGUGAAAUGCGUAGAUAUCCGAGAGAACACCGAUGGCGAAGGCAGCUUUCUGGCUGGCACCUGACGCUGAGAUGCGAAAGCUAGGGGAGCGAACGGGAUUAGAUACCCCCGUAGUCC